AUGAGUGUGCCCACUCAGCUCCUAGCAUUGCUGCUGCUGUGGCUUACAGAUGCCAGAUGUGACAUCCAGGUGACUCAGUCUCCAGCGUCCCUGUCUGCACCUGUGGGAGAAAGUGUCUCCAUCACAUGUAAAGCAAGUGAAGAAAUUUAUAGUGCUUUAAAUUGGUAUCAGCAGAAACCAGGGAAAUCUCCACAGCUCCUGAUCUAUUAUGCAACCAGCUUGGGAGAUGAUGUGCCCUCAAGGUUCAGUGGCAGUAAAUCUGGCACACAGUAUUCCCUCAAGAUCAGCAGCCUGCAGCCUGAAGAUCUUGCAACUUAUUACUGUGAACAGAGUUA
This is a non-coding RNA of Mus musculus (house mouse), 335 nucleotides long. The record is from the annotation of a RefSeq genome assembly. NCBI's taxonomy places the organism in Eukaryota, Metazoa, Chordata, Mammalia, Rodentia, Muridae.